RNAcentral lists this long non-coding RNA (601 nucleotides) under Pseudonaja textilis. RNAcentral describes it as "lncRNA (ENSPTXG00000009704.1)". Lineage: Eukaryota; Metazoa; Chordata; Lepidosauria; Squamata; Elapidae. The record is from RNAcentral.
ACUUUUAAAGACUCCGGAUGCUUUUGGUUUCCCGUCUUGGUUCGGGGGCCCCCGCCCACCAGCCCACUCCACCGCAUCCGCGCUCUCGGGGGAUUUAGUGGGUUCCCAUUUGCUUUGAACCAAACCAGACAGUUGGCAGCUCAAACAUUAAAUUCAAGCACCCACGUGCUUCACCUUUCCUGCUGUAAUCUUUUGCCCGGUUGAAGUCCAAAAUCCUCUGAAAUCAGCUGCAUGGAUAAGGCAGAAAAUGGAUAUACAUUUGGUUUCUUCCAUAGGCACAAACAUUGUUUCAGCUUUGGUAUGUUACAAAAUGACAUUCCUGGAUGUCCUGGAUGAAUUAUAGAGAAUGUAAAGCUUCUUGAGUCGAUACCAGAGUCGAUACUGUCUAAAAAUGUUCAGCAUUCCAAACAUACAUUAAAGAUAACAAAAAAAUUUUUUUUUAUAAAUUGUUAAUACUAGUUUACUGAUCCUAAUGAUAUUGGCUUUGAUGUUUUUACAGACAUAGAAUGGGAUUGCUCAUGUUUACUUAUCUGGAAGUAAGGUCUUUCAAACACUUUUAAACUUCUUACUCCAUACGUUUAUAGCACUGGGCAGUUACUGA